GGCUGCAUAGUGUAAUGACUAGCACAUUCCAUGGAAAUUUACAUUUGAUUUUAAGGAAAGAUGUCGGUUCAAAUCCGACUGCGGCCC
This is a non-coding RNA of Orbilia blumenaviensis, 87 nucleotides long. Lineage: Eukaryota; Fungi; Ascomycota; Orbiliomycetes; Orbiliales; Orbiliaceae. The record is from the annotation of a GenBank genome assembly.